This 468-nucleotide ribosomal RNA is filed under the name uncultured bacterium. RNAcentral describes it as "partial 16S ribosomal RNA". It matches the Rfam family "Bacterial small subunit ribosomal RNA", at positions 28 to 507 of the family's 1533-position model. The record is from RNAcentral.
GACGAACGCUGGCGGCGUGCUUAACACAUGCAAGUCGAACGGAAAGGCCCUGCUUUUGUGGGGUGCUCGAGUGGCGAACGGGUGAGUAACACGUGAGUAACCUGCCCUUGACUUUGGGAUAACUUCAGGAAACUGGGGCUAAUACCGGAUAGGAGCUCCUGCUGCAUGGUGGGGGUUGGAAAGUUUCGGCGGUUGGGGCUGGACUCGCGGCUUAUCAGCUUGUUGGUGGGGUAGUGGCUUACCAAGGCUUUGACGGGUAGCCGGCCUGGGAGGGUGACCGGCCACAUUGGGACUGCGAUACGGCCCAGACUCCUACGGGAGGCAGAAGUGGGGAAUAUUGCACAGUGGGCGGGAGCCUGAUGCGGCAACGCCGCGUGCGGGAUGACGGCCUUCGGGUUGUAAACCGCUUUCGCCUGUGACGAAGAGUGAGUGACGGUAAUGGGUAAAGAAGCACCGGCUAACUACGUG